Molecule: unclassified non-coding RNA, 218 nt
Filed under: Hevea brasiliensis (rubber tree)
Lineage: Eukaryota; Viridiplantae; Streptophyta; Magnoliopsida; Malpighiales; Euphorbiaceae
Source: RNAcentral
CUAGUAACUACAGGGAGGAAGAUUUCUUUUGCAGCUUUUGGGAAUUAAAUGGUUCCCUAUAAGAGCAUUGCCUCAAGGCAAUUAUGAUCUUCUGGCCUCUUUGUAGUUGGUUACUUUGGGGAAGCCCCAGGAGCCAGUGCCAUCCAUUUCAGUUGUUAGUUGCUGUUGUGUUUUCUAGCUUGCUAACGUUGGAGGUAUUAUUUCCUCCCAAGGGGAAG